UGGGGAAUCUUCCGCAAUGGGCGAAAGCCUGAUGCAACAACGCCGCGUGAGUGAAGAAGGAUUUCGGUUCUGUAAAGCUCUGUUGUUAGGGAAGAAUGAUUGUAUAGUAACUAUAUACAGUAAAACACCGUACCUAUACAUACCGCCACGGCUAACUACAUGCCAGCAGCCGCGGUAAUACGGAAGUGGCGGGCGUUGUCAGGAAGUAUUGGGCUUGUCGCGCCCGCAGGUGGUUUAAUAAGUCUGAUGGGAAACCCCACGGCUCAACCGUGGAAGGUCAUUGCAGACUGUUAAACUUGAAUGCCUGAUGUAAAAGUGGAAUUCCUAGUGUAGCGGUGAAAUGCGUAUGGAUUAAGAGGAACACCUGUGGCGAAACGCGACGCUNAGGCCUGUAACUGACACUGAGGCGCGAAAGCGUGNGGAGCANACNUCGAUUANAUACCCUGGUAGUCCACGCCGUGNCNAUGAGUGCUANGUGUUGGUCUCAUAACANAUCANUGCUGCACCUNACGCGUUNAGCACUCCCGCCUGGGGAGUACGACCGCNAGUUG
Molecule: ribosomal RNA, 551 nt
Filed under: uncultured bacterium
Lineage: Bacteria
Description: partial 16S rRNA
Rfam family: Bacterial small subunit ribosomal RNA
Source: RNAcentral